UCCGGUUUGUCACCGGCAGUCUCAUUAGAGUGCCCAACUGAAUGUAGCAACUAAUGACAAGGGUUGCGCUCGUUGCGGGACUUAACCCAACAUCUCACGACACGAGCUGACGACAGCCAUGCAGCACCUGUGUUCCGAUUCUCUUUCGAGCACACCCGAAUCUCUUCAGGCUCUCGGACAUGUCAAGGGUAGGUAAGGUUUUUCGCGUUGCAUCGAAUUAAUCCACAUAAUCCACCGCUUGUGCGGGUCCCCGUCAAUUCCUUUGAGUUUUAAUCUUGCGACCGUACUCCCCAGGCGGUCUACUUCACGCGUGAGCUGCGUUACCAAGUUAAUUAAAACCCGACAACUAGUAGACAUCGUUUAGGGCGUGGACUAC
This 376-nucleotide unclassified non-coding RNA is filed under the name uncultured Gammaproteobacteria bacterium. Its description in RNAcentral is "contains 16S-23S intergenic spacer region". Lineage: Bacteria; Pseudomonadati; Pseudomonadota; Gammaproteobacteria. The record is from RNAcentral.